Molecule: long non-coding RNA, 1002 nt
Organism: Rhagoletis pomonella (apple maggot)
Lineage: Eukaryota; Metazoa; Arthropoda; Insecta; Diptera; Tephritidae
Exons: 3
Source: RefSeq, a predicted model, not a curated record
UUGCAACAGCAGUUGCUGCUGUAUAUCUUAAGUUGCUGCUAUAUUUUGCGCUCUUGGCGCGCUCAGACAGAGAAAGCAACUUGCGAGAUUGUAAAGUGAAGAAAGAAAGGGGGUCACAACUUUCACGCGAUAUAAAAAUCAUGAUACCAAUUCGGCCGGGCCGCAUUUUCACGUCAACGCUGCGCCUAAAGAGAGGUCGUUUGUGUUUUGGUUUUUAUUCGUCGUCUACCAGCUAGCUUGUGUGCUGCGACUCAAAGUGUAAGAAAAUUGAUACGCUUGUGAAUUUUCGAUCGACGUCCUUCUUAGUGACAUUAACCCAAAAAUCAUUACAAUUAAAUAAAGAAACAAAAAAAAAUACAAUUUCAAUUGGAACUCAAUAUUUUCUCACACAUGAAAUUUAACGAUUAAUAAAAUUUGAAAUUCAAAUAGUGCCAAGUGCAAUAAAGAAACACAUAAAUUUGCGGCUGCUAUUUAAACUAUAGUGAGCGUGGAAAGCUUUAAAAAAAUCUGAUAAUAUAAAAAAAAAUCUGUUAAGUUUGAAGAAGCAAUUAAAACGAUCGUGAUUAAAAAAAAAUAAAAUAAAAAUUGCAAACAAAAUUGGAAACUUUUGUGAAGAAACAGUAACAAAAAAGCGAACGUGCCAUUUUGAUAUUUUGAUUGGAUUAAGCAAAAAACACAGAAACACAUAUAAAAAAAAUAGGAAAGGAGUAAGCUGCAAUUUAAAAGAGCUGUACAACACAAGUGAAAGGAUUACAAUAACUAUCCAAGCAGGUCCAGUAUUAGACGGAUAAUUCUUUAAGCGGUGCGGUGGUUUCCUUCCGCCUCACAGUCGGGUAUACAUAUGUGCAUGUCGGAGAAAUACAGCUAAAAGUUAAGUGACGGCUAAGGGGAAUAGAAAACAACAAAAUCUCAACUAAACCAAAACACAGUAAAACAAAAACAAAAUGGGGCGACAGCUGCGGCCUUAUGCGCUCGCGACGCUAUUCUGCUUAGUGUUCAUAG